UAGGGAAUAUUGGGCAAUGGACGAGAGUCUGACCCAGCCAUGCCGCGUGCAGGAAGAAGGCUUUCUGAGUCGUAAACUGCUUUUGACAGGGAAGAAUAAGCUUCACGUGUGGAGUGAUGACGGUACCUGCAGAAUAAGCACCGGCUAACUCCGUGCCAGCAGCCGCGGUAAUACGGAGGGUGCGAGCGUUGUCCGGAUUUAUUGGGUUUAAAGGGUGCGUAGGCGGCUCCUUAAGUCCGGGGUGAAAGCCCGUUGCUCAACAACGGAACUGCCCUGGAUACUGAGGAGCUUGAGUACAGACGAGGUUGGCGGAAUGGACAGAGUAGCGGUGAAAUGCAUAGAUACUGUCCAGAACCCCGAUUGCGAAGGCAGCUGACUAGGCUGUUACUGACGCUGAGGCACGACAGCGUGGGGAGCGAACAGG
Molecule: ribosomal RNA, 424 nt
Filed under: uncultured bacterium
Lineage: Bacteria
Description: bacterial SSU rRNA
Rfam family: Bacterial small subunit ribosomal RNA
Source: RNAcentral